UCAAGCUACUAAGAGCCAUUGGUGGAUGAUUUGGCGCUUUUAGGCGAUGAAGGACGUGGCAAGCUGCGAUAAGCCUCGGGGAGUUGCAAACAAACUUUGAUCCGGGGAUUUCCGAAUGGGGCAACCCCCACUCAAUCAUGGGUGGAACACCUUCUGAAUUCAUAGGAAGGUGUGGCGAAACGGGGGGAAUUGAAACAUCUUAGUACCCCCAGGAGAAGAAAGAAAUCGAUUCCGCAAGUAGCGGCGAGCGAACGCGGAAGAGCCUAAACCGAUAAGAUGUCAAGCUUCGAGGCGUUGUCUUUUCGGUGUUGUGGGGCCGAACGGUUGGAUCUCGAAAUCCGACGGGAAGAAAUCCUACUCAACUUUAGCAGAACGGUCUGGAACGACCGGUCCAAGAAGGUGAUAACCCUGUAUGCAAAAAGGUUGAGUGCUUCCUGGUUCGUCACCCCAAGUACUACGAGCUCAGAGGAAUCUCGUGGGAAGCUGGGAGAACCACCUCCUAAGGCUAAAUACUCAUAAGCGACCGAUAGUGAACAAGUACCGUGAGGGAAAAUUGAAAAGAACCCCUGUUAGGGGAGUGAAAUAGAACCUGAAACCAAUUGGCUUACGGGCGGUAGGAGGGCUAUGCAUGUGGCGCAAGCUGCAUGAAUGCCUGACUGCGUGCCUUUUGCAUAAUGAUCCGGCGAGUUAUUGGAUGCGGCAAGGCUAAGCACUCAAGGGUGUGGAGCCGCAGCGAAAGCGAGUCCGAAAUGGGCGAAUCAGUCUCAUCCAAUAGACCCGAAGCUGAGUGAGCUUACCAUGGCCAGGAUGAAGCCCCGGUAAAACGGGGUGGAGGUCCGAAGCGGUGUAUGUUGAAAAAUGCUCGCAUGAGCUGUGGUAAGGGGUGAAAGGCUAAUCAAACUCAGUAAUAGCUGGUUCUCCUCGAAACAUCUUUAGGGAUGGUCUGGUGUCGUAACCGUCAGAGGUAGAGAACUCAAUGGGCUAGGGAACUUAACCGUUUACCGAACCCAAGGAAACUCCGAAUGCUGGCGGCGUAAUCACUGGAAUCAGUCCGUGGGGGCUAAGCUUCACGGUCGAGAGGGAAACAACCCAGAUCGCCGAUUAAGGUCCCUAAAUUACUGCUCAGGGGACAAGGUAGUUGGAGAGCCUAGACACCCAGGAUGUUGGCUUAGAAGCAGCCAUACAUUUAAAGAGUGCGUAACAGCUCACUGGUCAAGUGUUCUCGCGCCAAAAAUGAUCGGGGCUCAAGCAUGAUACCGAAGCCGCGGAUGUCCAUCUUCUUCGGAACGAUGGGCGUGGUAGAGGAGCAUUCCCAGGGCAUUGAAGCGGAAGCGGCAAGCAUCCGUGGAGCGCUGGGAAGAGAUUAUGCCGGAAUGAGUAGCGAUAAAACGGGUGUAAAACCCGUUCGCCGUAAAUCUAAGGUUUCCCGGGGAAGGUUAAUCCGCCCGGGGUUAGUCGGUCCUAAGUCGAGGCAGGAAAUGCGUAGAUGAUGGACAGCAGGUUAAAUAUUCCUGCACUAUUAGUGUUGCGUUACCAAUGUAAUUGGUGCGCAGGAGGCUAGAUGAUCGCACGAUUGGAAAUGUGCGUCCAAACCUGUAGCCCUAGACGAAAGUUUAGGGUAAGGGGUGUUAGGGAGCUCAAUCUUCGGAAAGAGCGAACUCGUCGACGCCACACUGCCGAGAAAAGCCAUUUGCAUGAGUAACAUUAAUAACCGUACCGUAAACGGACACACGUGGAUGAGGUGAGAAUCCUAAGGCGCUCGAGUUAAUCCUCUCUAAGGAACUAGGCAAAAUGGCCCCGUACCUUCGGUAUAAGGGGUGCCUGAUUAGGGUAACCGUCAAGGAAGCCCGAAAAGGUCUCAGUGAAAUGAGUCAAGCGACUGUUUAACAAAAACACAGCACUCUGCAAAGUCGACAAGACGACGUAUAGGGUGUGACAUGUGCCCGGUGCCGGAAGGUCAAGCGGAGACGUUAGCCGUAAGGCGAGGCGUCGAAGUUAAGCCCCGGUAAACGGCGGCCGUAACUAUAACGGUCCUAAGGUAGCGAAAUUCCUUGUCGGGUAAGUUCCGACCUGCCCGAACCGGGUAACGAGCUGGCCGCUGCCUCAGCGAGUA
RNAcentral lists this ribosomal RNA (2113 nucleotides) under groundwater metagenome. RNAcentral's name for it is "bacterial LSU rRNA". It matches the Rfam family "Bacterial large subunit ribosomal RNA", at positions 3 to 2030 of the family's 2925-position model. The record is from RNAcentral.